GUUACCAGGUGAUCAGCAGAGUUGUUCCUCUCCCAGAUGUUACCGGUGAUCAGCAGAGUUGUUCUCCUCUCCCAGAUGUUACCAGGUGAUCAGCAGAGUUGUUCUCCUCUCCCAGAUGUUACCUGGUGAUCAGCAGAGUUGUUCCCCUCUCCUAGAUGUUACCAGGUGAUCAGCAGUUGUUCCUCUCCCAGAUGUUACCAGGUGAUCAGCAGAGUUGUUCUCCUCUCCCAGAUGUUACCAGGUGAUCAGCAGUUGUUCCUCUCCCAGAUGUUACCAGGUGAUCAGCAGAGUUGUUCUUCUCUCCCAGAUGUUACCAGGUGAUCAGCAGAGUUGUUCCUCUCUCCCAGAUGUUACCAGGUGAUCAGCAGAGUUGUUCUCCUCUCCCAGAUGUUACCAGGUGAUCAGCAGAGUUGUUCUCCUCUCCCAGAUGUUACCAGGUGAUCAGCAGAGUUGUUCUCCUCUCCCAGAUGUUACCAGGUGAUCAGCAGAGUUGUUCUCCUCUCCCAGAU
Long non-coding RNA from Serinus canaria (Common canary), 509 nucleotides. RefSeq lists it as uncharacterized. The record is from RefSeq and is a predicted model, not a curated record. The transcript has 5 exons. Lineage: Eukaryota; Metazoa; Chordata; Aves; Passeriformes; Fringillidae.